ACUGGUAGCGUGGAUUAGGCAUGCAAGUCGAACGGGAUCGCCGAGUUAGCAAUAAUGAGGCGUGAGAGUGGCGGAAGGGCGAGGAACACGUGAGCAAUCUGUCCAUGAGGUGAGGAAAACUCCGGGAAACUGGAGCUAAUACUGAAUGUGUCGCCCCUGCGCAUGCAGGGAGCGGUAAAGGGGGCCGCAAGGCUCUCCCUCAACGAGGAGCUCGCGCACCAUCAGCUUGUUGGCGGGGUAACGGCCCACCAAGGCUUACGGUUAGCUGGUCUGAGAGGAUGGCCAGCCGCACUGGGACUGAGAUACUGCCCAGACUCCUACGGGAGGCUGCAGUCGAGGAUCAUUCGCAAUGGACGAAAGUCUGACGAUGCGACGCUGCGUGGAAGGAUGAAGGCCUUCGGGUUGUAAACUCCUGUCAUGAGGGAAAAGGAGAGGGUACCCAAUACGUACUUGAUUUGAUGGUACCUCAAGAGGAAGGGGCGGCUAACUCUGUGCCAGCCGCUGC
RNAcentral lists this ribosomal RNA (505 nucleotides) under uncultured bacterium. Its description in RNAcentral is "bacterial SSU rRNA". It matches the Rfam family "Bacterial small subunit ribosomal RNA", at positions 36 to 518 of the family's 1533-position model. The record is from RNAcentral.